Molecule: ribosomal RNA, 433 nt
Filed under: uncultured bacterium
Lineage: Bacteria
Description: partial 16S ribosomal RNA
Rfam family: Bacterial small subunit ribosomal RNA
Source: RNAcentral
AACGAACGCUGGCGGCAUGCCUAACACAUGCAAGUCGAACGAGACCUUCGGGUCUAGUGGCGCACGGGUGCGUAACGCGUGGGAACCUGCCCUUAGGUUCGGAACAACUCCCCGAAAGGGGUGCUAAUACCGGAUAAUGUCUUCGGACCAAAGAUUUAUCGCCUUUGGAUGGGCCCGCGUUGGAUUAGCUAGUUGGUAGGGUAAAAGCCUACCAAGGCGACGAUCCAUAGCUGGUCUGAGAGGAUGAUCAGCCACACUGGGACUGAGACACGGCCCAGACUCCUACGCGAGGCAGCGGUGGGGAAUAUUGGGCGAUGGGGGAGAGCCUGAGACAGCGAUGCGGCGUGAGUGAUGAAGGCGUUAGAGUAGUAAAGCACUUUUACCCGGGAUGAUAAUGACAGUACCGGGAGAAUAAGCGCCGGCCAACUCCGUG